CAAAAACUGGACAUGCCAGAUGUGGACCUAUGCGUAGCACGUAACCCCCACUGCUCUCAAGCACAGACACGGACUGUGUGGAAAACAGUGUAAGCCUAUGGUUCUUCCCGAAUCCCCCGACCCCAUGGCAAUUCCCUGUAGCAAGGAAUCACAUGAAACGCCCUCACAAGCCUGAGCAAGUACAAAAAUAAGAGACAGAACACUGAACUCAUGCCUCCCCCUUAAAGGACCUUCUUGCACUAACGUCUUACGAAUUAGGAGGGGAAUUAAAAGUCCUCUUUGUAGGACUUACCGAAAGAUCUCGUCUUCACGCAUAAGUAUGCUGCAUUCCUGCUGCUGCUGGGAUCCUGGGCUUUGAGAACAGGGCCGGAGACACACUAGCUAUCCCGUGCCUCCCCCUGGCACCACAGACCCGCUGCUUAAAAUGCCUCCCUCCUUCCAGAGCCGUCGGCCUGUCUCCAAGCAGAGCAGCAGCUGGGGACUCCUGAUCAGGUGACCUGGGCACACCUGCUGGAGAAGGCCCAGGAGCGGCAGAUGAUGACCUUCCCUGACCUUCUUAACGUCAACGAGGACCCUCAGCUCACCAGGGUGCUCAAGUACUUCAUUCAAGCUGGUUCAUGUGACGCUGGUCGGGCUGUCUCAAAUGCUAUCACGAUUCAAGGUUUGGGUGCUUGGAGCCCUGACCCACCAGACUACAGAAAGCCCAGACUGUGGAGUGACCCCUGGGGCUCCCUCAGGAGGCCCCUGCAGGAGCCCUGGGAAACCCCAUGCCGGGCCUCACCCAGUCAAGAGCUGUCCCCAGCUCUGUGGCUGCCCUGCCUGGGAGGCUGCUGCUGGAGUGUCUCCAGCUGGGAAGCACCAUCACCUGCGUCCUUCAGACAGAUCACCCCCAUCCCCGUACGAAAGCCCACGGGCCGUCGUGGCUGGAGGGGUGCUGACCCAGGGGCUGGCUGGCCCCGCCUCGUCCUGCACUGCCAGCCUCCUUCUUGGGACAUCUUCCUGGGGAUCCCCCUCAAGUCCCUUUCCAGAACACGUCCUUAGUCCAACACACAGGUGCGUAAAUGUCUGAACUCCAGUGAUGAGGCCGCAACCUUUCCCACAGGAUCCCUGGGCCCCAUGCAAAAAAGGGUUUGGAUGCACACGGGUCUCCACAUCCAGAACAUUCCAUGAUGGCCAAGGAGUGCAGGAACAUGGAACAUGCUAAGGCAGGGAGCCAGUCAUUCAGGACACACAGAUGACAUCCGGUGCAGGGGAGCAGGGCGGGGAGGGGGGACACCAACCUGACACCCCUGAUGUCCAGCCCCAAAUCCUAUAAGGUCUGAAUUUAUACGGCGAGGGCGCAGAAACAGAUCAAAACGUACCCGGAGUAGGUGAGGCUCGUUAAGAGUCGCCUCCUGAGUGUCUCUUCUGAAGCUUGCUUGCUGCCAUUUUCCCACCACCCCAUCCCGCUGGCCUGGGAGCGGGAGGACUCCAGUGUGGCCUUGGCCGGCUCCCCGCAGCGCUAGGCCCUCAGCUGGUGUUCGUUCUGUUAUGAAGCCCUUACCUGCUGUCUCCCAGCUCCCCGUGCUCCCCAAGGGCAGGGUCCUUCUGCGCCCGCUGCUGUCCCCAUGCAUCAUGGGCCACAGCACACAGGAGGCCCCGAGAUGCCACCUGCCAUCCUCCGCAGCUGUAGACCUUCCCUCCCGUGCACAUGAGAAAGGUCAGCGUACCUGCUCACGGAAACCGCCGUUUGCUGGGUGUCUUAGACUGACUCUCGUCUUCUUAGAAUUUCAGAUAAACACGCUUCCUUCACAAAUGCCGACGGUAAAGUGAUGGUCACUCCACACAGCAAAUGCAAGGUUGCCGUUAAUGGGGUGCCCAUCACCACCAGGACAAAGCUGCAGCAUUUGGUAAACUUUCCUGCAGGCUCACAGAAUGUCCUAGGUCCCCCCCAAAAGCUGGGAGGGGACAGUCAUGUGAGGUGCCCACAUCACAGACGUGGCAGGAUGGGGCAUUCACACCAGCUCCUCUGCCACCAUGGCUUGGGGACAACAUGGCACCACUGCUGGAGGGACAGGCCUGCUCCUGACUCGCUGUGUGGUCUUGGGCAAGUCACUUCACUCCUCUGACCUCACCUGGAAAACAAGGAGGGCUGAACUAGGUGUUCUCCAAGAUC
This 2155-nucleotide long non-coding RNA is filed under the name Pan troglodytes (chimpanzee). RNAcentral describes it as "long non-coding RNA NONPTRT001530". The record is from RNAcentral. Lineage: Eukaryota; Metazoa; Chordata; Mammalia; Primates; Hominidae.